This 252-nucleotide ribosomal RNA is filed under the name uncultured bacterium. RNAcentral describes it as "partial 16S ribosomal RNA". It matches the Rfam family "Bacterial small subunit ribosomal RNA", at positions 524 to 775 of the family's 1533-position model. The record is from RNAcentral.
UACAGAGGUCUCAAGCGUUGUUCGGAUUUAUUGGGCGUAAAGGGCGCGUAGGCGGCGGGGUAAGUCGGGUGUGAAAUCUCAGGGCUCAACCCUGAGACUGCACUUGAUACUGCUCUGCUUGAGGACUGGAGAGGAGACUGGAAUUCACGGUGUAGCAGUGAAAUGCGUAGAUAUCGUGAGGAAGACCAGUGGCGAAGGCGGGUCUCUGGACAGUUCCUGACGCUGAGGCGCGAAGGCCAGGGGAGCAAACGG